This 328-nucleotide unclassified non-coding RNA is filed under the name soil metagenome. RNAcentral describes it as "partial contains 5.8S ribosomal RNA, internal transcribed spacer 2, and large subunit ribosomal RNA". The stretch from base 1 to 120 matches the Rfam family "5.8S ribosomal RNA", at positions 35 to 154 of the family's 154-position model. The record is from RNAcentral.
GAUGAAGAACGCAGCGAAAUGCGAUAAGUAAUGUGAAUUGCAGAAUUCAGUGAAUCAUCGAAUCUUUGAACGCACAUUGCGCCCCUUGGUAUUCCGAGGGGCAUGCCUGUUCGAGCGUCAUUAUAACCCCUCAAGCUCAGCUUGGUGUUGGGGCCUGCCGCACGGGCAGCCCUUAAAAUCAGUGGCGGUGCCAUCUGGCUCUAAGCGUAGUAAUUCUUCUCGCUAUAGAGUCCCGAUGGAUGCUUGCCAUUAACCCCCAAUUUUCUAUGGUUGACCUCGGAUCAGGUAGGGAUACCCGCUGAACUUAAGCAUAUCAAUAAGCGGAGGA